AGUCUUAUAGAGGCGACGGUCGGAGAGUGUGACCAGGAACGGGCUUAGAGUGAAAGAUCAAUCAGCUCUAAAAAGGUGAAUGGUAGAAGUGUACAUCGACCAGUGAUUUUUUAAACACCUCGUUAAGAGACAAGAAAGGAACACUUCUUGACCUAAGAUAACUCGAAACUGACCUUUGACCUGAGAUGACGUACGUGUCCUUGCAUCAUCCUCGCACUCCGCUCGACUGCUUGCUUGGGAGUCUUCGAUCUUGCUGUGGCCCCGCUCCCACCCUCGAGAUGGUUUCCAGGCGCAGGAUCUUAGGCCGUUCGCAGGACAACAUUCAUCUGGACAACUACCAGGAGGAAGAAGAGGAUGUCUACUACACGAAGGAACGGCUUCUUAAGGAGCACAUCCAGGAAGUGCUGAUGAAGUGGGAGCAAAUCGACGACGAGAUCUGGUCCAAGGUGAUCGUCCUGGAGCGCAACCGCCGCGUCGCGAAGGCCUACGCCCGCGCGCCCGUCCUCACCGUCAACGGCUCCGACGACGGCUUCGACGGAUACAGGAUUGGACUCUGUGGCUUCGAUAAUCCCAUGAGAGAUCCAAGGACAGAUGAAAUCAAGAGACACAUUGGCCAUGGCGUGAAAGUGAAGAUGGACGACCAAGGCAACAUCCUCAUCAAGCGCGUGUCCAAGGCAGGUGUCUACGUGAAAAUGACCAGUGACGAUAACGCUAUCAGUAACGACAUUCUGAGGCUGCCUAACCUCGGCUUGGAGAACGAAAAGCCUGUUAUGCUUUUCGACAUGAACAAAUUCCAGCAGAACGUGAAACGCGAGAUGCGCCGCCAGUACCCGGACCGUUCCAAGCUCGAGACCCAGUGCGUGUGCCUCAUCGCCUUUGUUAAGAAUGAGCAGGACAUCUUGGACUGCCCGAUCUGGGUCAUGAUCAUCAACAUCGUCGCCAUGGACAUGCUCAAGUCCAAGCUGCCUCCGGUGAGGGUCCUGCCAAAUAUCAGGAAUCGCCCGCGCAUCCCCAUCCCAGACGAAGAUCCCUACAGCGUGGCAGGAGGAUCCGGUGCUUCCUCAGGAUCCUCAGGCAAGGACCGAGCUGGCAAGGACAAACCUCCAAAGUUACCCCCAAGGGACUCCCCCAAUCACCCCGUCCCUGGACCUCGACCCAACGGCAAGUCCGACGCCCUGGAUGAGAACGCCUUCCGCAAGCUGCAGUCUCGCAACAAUAACAACAACAACAACAACAGAUCCCAGGACCGCAAGUAUGACGACCCAUACUACUGCGGUUUGAGAGCCCGCAUCCCCAACUUUGCCAAGCCGAAGUCGAAGGAUAAGCAGGAUGUGGUUCGUGCCCAGUACCCACCCCCCGUUCCUGCCCACCCCAUGUGGCACACUCGGAGCUUCGACUCGGGCAUGGCUCUUUUGCAACACAACCAAGUGCAAAAUAUUCACAGACUAGAACGCAACCCCUGCUCGUGGGUACCUACUUUGCCUGGAAGAAAUGAAACUGAAUGGGAAUCGUACUGGGACUCAUGAAGUGUGACUAAAUCAAAAAAAAUCAGUGGAAGCGUGUAAGAAGGGCACCAACCUUUGCUCUGUUCUAGACUCUGACUUCACCGAGUCUGCCUACUCCCACAUUUACGGUCGGCUGCCACUCCCAAACCGGGGUUACCUCCCCCCACCCCCGCCCCAUCCGCGUGCCAUGUACGUGGGGGAGUGGGACUAGAGGUCAAGUAAGGUCAUGCAAGAAGGAAUAAUUAUUAAAAAGAAUAUAGAAGAAUAAAUAAGAAGAAUGCCAUUUUCAAGAGGACGUUCGCCGAUUCGUUUAGUCUCGAGCGGUGUUUCGAGACAGGUUUCCCGAAGCCUUUUGUUUUAUUGUCAGAUUCUCUGUGACCUUACUCUCGCUCGGGGGUUCUUAUCCGGACUUCUUUUUAAAAAAAUAUUCUGAUCACUCGAAAAAAAGAAGCGGAAGUAAAAAAAAAAGAGAAGAG
Molecule: unclassified non-coding RNA, 1981 nt
Filed under: Penaeus monodon (black tiger shrimp)
Lineage: Eukaryota; Metazoa; Arthropoda; Malacostraca; Decapoda; Penaeidae
Description: uncharacterized LOC119584300, transcript variant X5
Source: RNAcentral